GCAUACUUAAGCUCUGGGUCCUCUUGCGUCCGUGGUGCAGUUACGUUUGUUCAACAGUGUCUCCCUGUCACAAACCUGAUCCUUCCUGUAACGGAACCGGGUUGAGUUUUGCUGCUGGCUCUGUGUAGCUGUACUAUCGGCACUAUUGGUGUAUUGGUGCGAAGCUCCCUGACGGGGUUGUAAACCGCUUCGCUUGCGCUGGUAUCUGCACUAGCCCCUCCCUUCCCUGCCACCUGCUGUUUUGUCUCAACCGACUUCUGUUUCAACCACUGUCAACAGGUUGUAGCUACACAAGCUGUGUCCGACGUGUCCGACAGGGCUGUAUUUGAGUGAUCAUUACACGGAUGAUAGCUUUGCCUUUCUUUGGCUUGCCCGUGCUUACUAAUGUGUAUGGAGACUGGGGUUUAGGUUUAUGGGUUUAUUUGUUAAAUUAUGAUUAAGUGAUUUUUGGUUAAUUUAUAUUUCUUUUGUUUAAGUUCUGAUAAAAGACUUUCAUUUCUGUUGAAACUUUAUGAUUUAUCUGUUAAUCUUGGUUAUUUUUGUUUGUCUCUAGGCAGCUAGGAUUAACUGAUUUUUGGUUCAUUUCUAUUUCUGUUUAAGUUUUGGUAAAGACUCAUUUUUGUUGAAACCUUUAUGGUUUAUUUGUUAAUUUUGGUUAUUUGUUAGGCUCUAGGCAGCUAUUAAGGCACCUUUGCUGCCUAGAUUUGCCUGAGAUUGAAUUUGUUUCUCAUUUAUUUUUGGUUUGAGUCAUUCCCCCCCCAAUAACUGAAUGUUCUUCUCCCAUAGAUGCUGAGUGCCGAAGGUGGUAGUGUCUGUGUCCCCGGUGGUGGUGUCUCCCUCCUGUGUGCUGCGUUUUCCCCCUUUGGUUUAUUUUGAGUUUUUCACCACUGUGUGUGUGUGCUCACGUGUGAUUGGGGUGAUCCUUCCCUGAGAACCCACACCCCUUGACCCUGUCCCUCCAUCGGUAAGGCCUCAGCACUUAUUUCCCAUAUUUAGUGUCUGGUAUUUUAAAUAGUAUUUUAUAUUUGAUGUUUUAGUAAUUGUAUUAAUAAAACCAUUGUUUUUA
Molecule: long non-coding RNA, 1066 nt
Organism: Perca fluviatilis (European perch)
Lineage: Eukaryota; Metazoa; Chordata; Actinopteri; Perciformes; Percidae
Exons: 4
Source: RefSeq, a predicted model, not a curated record